CCAAGUCGUCAGUCCCGCCCUCGGUUCUUUCGCGUUUUCGGUCAGUCUCCGUUCGACGUUCGAACGGUGAAGUGUGUAUUGCGCGUGCGCGCACCGGUUACUGUGGCGUACUGCGAGGUUAUUAUGGACGCGCCCGGCGGAGCGCGGGAGUCCCGCUUCGGGCUUUACGGUAAUGGUAUGGGGAUCCUAGGGGAAGUGCCUGAUAUGUAUGGUGCUGGCCGCCCUCCGAGUUCCCUUGGCGGUCUGAGGCCUGGCAUGCAGCCCUGUCCAGUGCCAAGAACCGGCGUGAAGCGGCCAUCGGACCAGUGUUAUGAUGAGAGGCCUUCUCAAAGUCUUAGUUUGGAGCACUGUGGGAUGCCGGAUAUAGCAGAUGACGGCUAUGCAUCUCUCCAACCAAAAAAGUCUCCUCCUUCUAAUGGGAAGAAGACCAAGGGGCGCGUUAAGAUUAAAAUGGAAUACAUAGACAACAAAUUACGGCGGUACACAACUUUCUCUAAGCGGAAGACUGGCAUCAUGAAGAAGGCUUACGAACUGUCAACACUAACGGGAACACAAGUGAUGUUAUUGGUUGCGUCAGAAACCGGACAUGUGUACACAUUUGCGACGCGGAAACUUCAACCGAUGAUCACAUCGGAUUCGGGAAAGCGGCUCAUACAGACCUGCUUAAAUUCACCCGAUCCUCCCACGACGAGCGAGCAGAGAAUGGCAUCCACGGGCUACGAGGAGACCGAGCUAACGUAUAAUGUCGUCGACGAUGAUAUGAAGGUCCUGGCUGAUGAUUUGAAGAAGAAGAACAAUAAGGAAGAACCAGCAACUUCUGGCGACAGCGGGGAUGAGAGUGGUAGCGAACAGGACUUUAUGUUCAAUCCCCAACAACACCACAAGGAUUUUAAUUGUGAUAAUCAAUCAGCUUCAAUUAAAAGAGAAUCCGAAAACCAGCCGUCUACGUCAUCAGCAAACCAGGAAGAAAGCAAAUCAAGUCAACCGUCACUACCCAGACUACUCCCAAAGAUAGAUCUACCAGGGGGUGCCAUGUUAUACCCGUCAGGGGUCCUAGCUGGCCUGGACGGUUUGGGGACCAACUUGGGACUUGGAAAUUUGGCUAUGGGAUAUCCGCCUAGCUUUAUUUUAGGUUUAGCUAAUCAAGGGCAAGAAAAUGCAUCAUCAUCCAACCAGCCGCAGUUCAUCACAAUACCACUUUCGAUGGCAGUAGCAGCGGGUGCAGGCGCUCCGAACGGCGCCGGCGCAUCUAGCGACGACAGCAGUGAACUACAGGAUCUUAGUACUGGCAUACGGAAAUAAUUGUAAGCUUCGCUUAUUCUCACUAGCAUUGUUAGAAACAAAAUGAUAACAGAUAGUCCCGAGAAGACUUCAUACUUUCCUCUUAACCAAUAACGUACAUAAUGUACCAAAGUACUCCUAGAUACGAUUAAGUUCCUUAAAGCUCAUUAUUUAGAAGAUAUACAUUCAUUUAUAAACCAUAUAGAUUGUGAUACAAAAAUUACGUAAUUGCCAAAAACUUGGUGUUAUAUCAAAUACUAUUCAUGAACGUACUUCAAGCUUUUUGUAUCACUUUGCAAUUAAAUAAAUAAAAACACUUUGAUUCAAAUACGUUUUUAAAUAGACUACUAAUCAUCUAUAAAUAAUUAAACUGUUUUAUGAUUUUGACAAAAGUAUUGAGAUAUUUGUUAUAUAUGAUAUGAGAUAUUUCUAUAAUAUUCUUAGAAAUUAUUGAUAUUUUCUUCGGUUAUAUAUGUCGAUAUUCGUUGAAUAAGACAAAAUAUCACGUUUAUUCAAUAUAUACUUGCCUAUUUUGUAUGAGGAAACACAGCGUCUAACUUCAUGGCCCGUGAUCCGUCAAGCAUAUUUAAUUAAAUAAAAAUUGUUUUCAAUAAUACACCUGUUUUGCGUGUGCAGCCUAGAAUAAGCCCGAUAUGAUAACAGUUUUUGAUAUGUCUCCAGGUUAUGUAAUUGAUAUAAGCGGUACAAGGACACUCGCCGUGAAUUUGGCGUCACCUUUGUAUAUUAGUACGCCUUAUGAUUAUUAUAAGUGUUAACUAUUAUCAGAAAUACGUGUAUUUUUGUACUAAACUGUGUAAAAUUUGUUAUACUCUUAUUUAUUACCACGCCUUAUAUUCUCGAAGCCCAAGUGGAUUUAUCCGUUGAUAUAAGUGAAUCAAUCUAAUGUAAUACUAUCUAGGGUAAAACAAAGCGAAAUAUAGAUGAUUAAUUAGUGUCAAGCAUAAGCUCCUUAACGUUUUUGAUAGUUUACUAUUGCCUAUCAGUAAAGACGGUUACCAUAAAGCUACAUAGAGAACACUAACACCAGCAAAUCUUGAAUAAAAAGUUAACGUAAGACAAAGUAUAUGGUAUCCAAAAGCAUCGCUUCGUACUCACUAUAGAAUUGUAUUCGUAUAUACUAUACCUAUAUACUUACUACGCGUAUAUACCAAACCCAUGAAUACAUGCGUUGUUGAUGUAUAUUAAGUAUUCGAAAACUUGAAACGAAUAUUUAAAACAAAGUUUGCUAAAGUUACUGGUAUGAUAGAAAACGAAUCAUUCGAACAAAAAAUACCAAGGACUGGCUAUGUUCGACACAAUUCUUAGUUUUCAGUUUUAUAGUUUCAUUUUUAGGUUUUUAAGUUGCAAAGCAUUUAUAAUUUAAUUUUGUGUCCCUUGCAUGAAUUUUAACAAUUGUUGAUAUUGUAUGUAAAAUGUCGACUUAAUUUAAUUGUAUUACUUAAUUAGUUUUAUUUUAGGCGGGAAAUUCGUAGACUAAGAACGGUCGAGUUUGGUUUGUGUAUUAAAUGUUCCUUUUCACUCAAUAAAAGUUAUGAAAUAUU
RNA transcript from Pieris brassicae (large cabbage white), 2843 nucleotides. It is a transcript of the gene named serum response factor homolog, with no coding region annotated. The transcript has 7 exons. The record is from RefSeq and is a predicted model, not a curated record. NCBI's taxonomy places the organism in Eukaryota, Metazoa, Arthropoda, Insecta, Lepidoptera, Pieridae.